RNAcentral lists this small nucleolar RNA (273 nucleotides) under Archaeoglobus fulgidus DSM 4304. RNAcentral's name for it is "HgcG RNA (Pab40)". It matches the Rfam family "HgcG RNA (Pab40)". Rfam says of the family: The HgcG ncRNA gene was identified computationally in AT-rich hyperthermophiles. The genes were named hgcA through hgcG ("high GC"). Lineage: Archaea; Methanobacteriati; Methanobacteriota; Archaeoglobi; Archaeoglobales; Archaeoglobaceae. The record is from Rfam by way of RNAcentral.
ACCUUUUCGGGAAAGUUAGGAGCAUAGGUUAAAUAUCAGUUUUGACUACUAUUAUUGUCCCCGAUCGGGGAAGAGGCAGAGGUGGCAGUGCCGACGAUGAAGCUUCUCUGCGAGCUCGGGGACACACCAUGUCGAUAGGUCCCCUUAGGAGUGAGGCGAAAGCCUUACGAUGAGUAUGGGGCAACCCGGACAUGGGACAGCCCCCAGAGGUCAGCCACUCUGAGAGGGCAAAGCCUGCGAUGAGGGGUGGUGUUACUCUGGGGGCAGAUUUCU